RNAcentral lists this long non-coding RNA (2501 nucleotides) under Medicago truncatula (barrel medic). RNAcentral describes it as "long non-coding RNA (MTRU_LNC004877)". The record is from RNAcentral. Lineage: Eukaryota; Viridiplantae; Streptophyta; Magnoliopsida; Fabales; Fabaceae.
UUGAUCAAGACAAUUAAAACCCUGCAACAACUAUUAAUCUUUUCUUUUAUUUCAUUUUCUAAUAAAUUAUGCUAAUUAUCGAGUUGAACUACAUCCACGUGGAGACAAUAACUUACUGUUUUUUUUUUUUUACUAUAAUAUGAUUGAAUGCACUUGCCUAUUUCGUCCAUCAGGUACAUUUCUCAAUCAUCACAUGUACAAAAUCCAGUUCCGAAUUCAAGAAAUAAAAUUUUGGCUUUGUACACCUCGCUAUCUAAUAAAUUAUGCUAAUUAUCGAGUUGAACUACAUCCAUGUGGAGACAAUAACGUACUGUUUUUUUUUUACAUAAUAUGAUUGAAUGCACUUGCCUAUUUCGUCCAUCAGGUACAUUUCUCAAUCAUCACAUGUACAAAAUCCAGUUCCGAAUUCAAGAAAUAAAAAUUUUGGCUUUGUACACCUCGCUAUCUUAGGAAAUUUGCAAAACUCUAUUUUUAUACAAUCAUCUGUUUUUUUACAUCUCCAACCUGUUGGAAUGAAAAAAGAGAAUAAAACAAUGUUACUAAAAUGGAAUAAAGUAUCAUGUAUACCUAAGGAAAUUAAAAAAGGUUUAAAGUGGCUUACCUUCAACGCUCAUUGUAAUAAAAAAAAGGGAAAUAAAGAUAAUUAUAACAUAAAUAUAUUUUCCAAUUUCAGCCAUAUUUUCUCCCUUAUGCAUUCAAUAAAUAAAAUGUGGUUUUAUCGCUUUAUAAUUUAUAAAAUAUAUCAUCUUUUUAUAUACACAAAAUAACUUUUAGAGGUUAUCGAGUUGUAGAAAAUUGUCUCUUAAGUAUAUUAAAGUGUUGCGUUUCUCCUUUCGUACGCUUGUAAAGUUCAACAUCUCCUCCUAAAACAAGAAUCAUUAUUAAAUGCCUAUAAAUUACAUAAAAGUAAUGUGUUUGUCACUUUGACACACUUAGUGCAAAGCUCGCGUGAAAACUUUACCAUUCAUAAGAAAUUGUUCUUAUUUUACCAUAUUUCCAAUAUUUUCUAUCCUUUCACAUAAGAGAAAAGAAAGAGUCGCAAGAGGUAUAAUAUUGUUCGAUUUCAUGUGAUUCCUAGGCUAUUAUAGAGUUAUCGUUGUUAUAUGUUAUACUAGUGUGUAUACCUGUGCACCACAUGGGAAAUAUUCAUUUUAAAAUUAUCUAAAAUACUUUAAACUUCAUAGAUGGGACAAAUGCCUAUAGGAAUGGAACACCUUGUCGGAUGAUUCCAAAGCGACCAAUGGUUAUAUAUUUAGCAUAGCUAGAGGAGCUAUUUCUUUGAAAUCUAAGAAACAAACCAUUUUAUCUAAGUCCACAAUGGAAUCUGAGAUGAUAGCACUAGCUACUGCUAGUGAGGAAGCAAUUUGGCUAAGAUUCUUGCUAGUGUAGUUGGAUGCAAGGAUGGUCUUCAAGAAGGCAGAAGGCAUUCCGAUGGUUGAAGAGAUUGGGGGAAACUUGUGGAGCUACAAGGUGUAGAUGGAAAGCAAAGGAAGACAAAGCAUGGGGAGAGCAGAAUGGUGGUUGAUAGUUAAAUGGUUGAAUUGGCAUCAUCGCCAAUUUAAAGUCAAGGUGGAGAAUUGUUGAAAAUUGACUCAAAAUGGAAGUUUGGGAAUCUGCCAAAAUCGUACCACGAUUUUUGGACUAGUUUUUGGACUUUUGAUUCGGGAAAAAUCGUAGCACGGUUUUGUGCUGAAGGGAAAAAAAGAAACGUAUCUUCAGCAUGACAUCCGUUCUAAAUUUCUGAGUUAUUUAACAAGGGUUUAUACCCAACAAGAAAACUAGGGUUUGUAGAAAAUUCUCUUGGCAACAAACAAUAGGGUUGAGAUUGAUUUACCUUGGGAAACACUAUUAGGAUUGAGUCUCUUGGUCACGAGAAGAGAUUCGAACUUUGGGUAAAAUUAGGUUUUGUUGAGUGUAACACACCGUUUUCCCAACUUGAAAGUUUCUCAUAAAAAUCAGAGUAAAACACCUUAAACGGAAUGCUACACUUUUUAAAAAUCAUACAUGGAAUAAUUAACUAAUUUUCCUUCAAAAGUAUACAACAUAAUAAUUAAUACUCCAUGGUUUGUCAUCAACAAGAACUUCAACGAUUCAACGACGACAACGUCAACCUGACAAGACAGCUACGUGAGAGUACACCACCUCUUAUAAUACGACAACGUAAGGGUACACCACCUCUUAUAAAACAACAACGUAAGCGUACACCACCUCUUAUAAACAACAACGUAAGAGUACACCACCUCUCACAAAACACCUGAACAUAAAUAGUCACCAACAACAGCUUCAACUACAACUUCAAAAACUUAGACAACAUUAACAACUUAAGACUCCAAUACUUUGGAAAGACAACUUACAACUUGACACCAUAGACCAACACCAUUUAAUCGUAUGCAGCAAGUCACCAUCAAUAAUAAUCAUCAUAUAUAACAAUUACAAUUUCAUAUCAACGUCUUUCACAAUAUAUAAAUAGUUUCACAUUUAAUCAUCAAAGUAAAUCAUCA